This 72-nucleotide transfer RNA is filed under the name Bos taurus (domestic cattle). It matches the Rfam family "tRNA". From Rfam's summary of the family: Transfer RNA (tRNA) molecules are approximately 80 nucleotides in length. RNAcentral also lists the same sequence under 3 other names. The record is from Rfam by way of RNAcentral. Lineage: Eukaryota; Metazoa; Chordata; Mammalia; Artiodactyla; Bovidae.
UCCCUGGUGGCUUAGAUGGUAAAGCAUCUGCCUACAACUUGGGAGACCCAGGUUCAAUCCCUGGGUUGGGAA